AUCCCCCGUACACGUCCACACACCGCCAUCUUGGGUUCGCGGCGAGCUCGACGCACCCGCCGGCGACGUGUAUUUAAAUGAGGGGGCGGAGCCGCGGGCGUGGGCUGGCGUGGCUCCUCCCCAGCGGGCGGUAGACUCGGGAGUCCGCGGCGGAGUGAAAAGCAGCGGAGGUUGCGCUGCGAAGGAAGGGCCCACGCCCUGGACCCGGCUGGCGGGAAAGUGGAUAGCCUUCCCGGAGGAACUGUUGGAGCUGCUGAGAAAACCUGCGUAGGGGCACCGUGGUAUAAAUCUCUCGAUUGUUGACACGGAAGAGAAAAAAGAGAAGUGAAUUUGGACUGACACAACUAAGAUGGCCGGUGGAAUAUUUCGCCAGUUCGGUGACUCACGCUUUCAGGAGGUGAAAGCAGGAAGGUUGAAGCCAACCUAAGACUGUUUCGAGAAGAAGAAGAAAAAAGUAACAAAAUCAAGGAAACUACCUGGCCUGUAACUUGAAGUCCCAAAAGUUAUAGUCAAUAUUAAACACAACACGAGGGCCUUUGCUUGGACAUCUUCUUUAAGAACCAGGACUUAGGGACUGGCAAGAUGGCUCUGGUAAGAGCACUGACUGACAGUCCUGAGUUCAAAUCCCAUCAACCACAUGGUGGCUCACAACUAUAUGCAAUGAGAUCUGAUGCCCUCUUCUGGUGUGUCUAAAGACAACUACAGUGCACUUACAUAUAACAAUAAAUAAAUCAAAACAAACAAACAAAAAACAGGACUUAGACUCCCCCUACUUCCAU
This is a long non-coding RNA of Mus musculus (house mouse), 779 nucleotides long. RefSeq annotates it as predicted gene, 53455. NCBI's taxonomy places the organism in Eukaryota, Metazoa, Chordata, Mammalia, Rodentia, Muridae. The transcript has 2 exons. The record is from RefSeq and is a predicted model, not a curated record.